RNAcentral lists this ribosomal RNA (450 nucleotides) under uncultured bacterium. Its description in RNAcentral is "partial 16S ribosomal RNA". It matches the Rfam family "Bacterial small subunit ribosomal RNA", at positions 338 to 795 of the family's 1533-position model. The record is from RNAcentral.
CCUACGGGUGGCUGCAGUGGGGAAUUUUGGACAAUGGGGGCAACCCUGAUCCAGCCAUGCCGCGUGCGGGAAGAAGGCCUUCGGGUUGUAAACCGCUUUUGUCAGGGAAGAAAUCUUCCGAGCUAAUACCUUGGGAGGAUGACGGUACCUGAAGAAUAAGCACCGGCUAACUACGUGCCAGCAGCCGCGGUAAUACGUAGGGGACAAGCGGUAAUCGAAAUUACUGGGCGUGAAGGGGCAGCAGGCGGGUGAAAUCCCCGGGCUUAACCUGGGCACUGCACUUGUGACUGUACGGCUGGAGUACGGCAGAGGGUGAUGGAAUUCCGCGUGUAGCAGUGAAAUGCGUAGAUAUGCGGAGGAACACCGAUGGCGAAGGCAGUCCCCUGGGCCUGUACUGACGCUCAUGCACGAAAGCGUGGGGAGCAAACAGGAUUAGAUACCCCUGUAGUC